Molecule: microRNA precursor, 131 nt
Filed under: Oryza sativa Indica Group (long-grained rice)
Lineage: Eukaryota; Viridiplantae; Streptophyta; Magnoliopsida; Poales; Poaceae
Description: osa-MIR827
Source: RNAcentral
GAUUUUUGCUGGCGGCCUAUUUAACACAGCCGCCAGCGAAAAUGAAUUUUGUUGGCGGCUGGUGUAAGACGACCGCCAACAAAGAUCCAUUUUUGCUGGCAGCUGGUUUAAGACGACCGCUAGUGAAAAUG